Molecule: long non-coding RNA, 127 nt
Organism: Oncorhynchus keta (chum salmon)
Lineage: Eukaryota; Metazoa; Chordata; Actinopteri; Salmoniformes; Salmonidae
Exons: 2
Source: RefSeq, a predicted model, not a curated record
GGCUACUGUGGAGACAUUCCUCCUUAUUAAAGACAUACUGUUGGAAGGCUACUGUGGAGACAUUCCUCCUUAUUAAAGACAUACUGUUGGAAGGCUACUGUGGAGACAUUCCUCCUUAUUAAAGACA